RNAcentral lists this long non-coding RNA (267 nucleotides) under Lathyrus oleraceus (garden pea). RNAcentral describes it as "Pisum sativum (pea) long non-coding RNA (PSAT_LNC033094)". Lineage: Eukaryota; Viridiplantae; Streptophyta; Magnoliopsida; Fabales; Fabaceae. The record is from RNAcentral.
UAAAGUACAGUUUAUUUUCAUUUAUAUUAUCUAACAACUAUUUCUAAGGAAAAUCUCUAACCAUAUGACAUUCUCCUUGACACGGAUAACAUCUCAUCUAUCUGGUAGCACAUCUUCCAAAUUUAUUUGUCUUACAUCACUGUCAUAAAGGAUGUUGAACUGGCCUUGCAUUAUGUCCUAGCCUUUCCUUAAAAGGUUGAGGCUUAGGCCUAAACUGAUGACAUGGUUUUCCUUGGUCCUUUGGACCAACUCUAUAUUGAUCCCUCU